Molecule: non-coding RNA, 324 nt
Organism: Vicia faba (fava bean)
Lineage: Eukaryota; Viridiplantae; Streptophyta; Magnoliopsida; Fabales; Fabaceae
Source: the annotation of a GenBank genome assembly
CUACCCAUAACAGAAUUUCCAGCUCAACAACUAACCAUACAGCAUAACAGAAUUUCAACCAACAUUCUAACUAACCAACAACUUGUAACUAACUCUAACCAAACUCCAACUAACUUUCUAACCUCCCAAUCGCCUCUAACAAACUUCCAGCGGAAGAGAAUAGAUAACAAAAUUCAGAAGGAAAGGGGGAAGAAGGUUCAUUCACAUCUCAGAGAUUCAUUAUUCCCACUGAUACAAACGCCUAUCAUUAUUCACGUUCACAAUAAAAAAAGCCAGAAAAAAAUAUCUGAGAAAAUGACCAUAGAAAAAGUCACUUCUCUCUGA